UACGUAGGGGGCAAGCGUUGUCCGGAAUCAUUGGGCGUAAAGCGCGUGUAGGCGGUUCAGUAAGUCUGCUGUGAAAGUCCAGGGCUCAACCCUGGGAUGCCGGUGGAUACUGCUGGACUAGAGUGCGGAAGAGGCGAGUGGAAUUCCCGGUGUAGCGGUGGAAUGCGCAGAUAUCAGGAGGAACACCAAUAGCGAAGGCAGCUCGCUGGGACGUUACUGACACUGAGGCGCGAAAGCUAGGGGAGCAAACAGG
This 253-nucleotide ribosomal RNA is filed under the name uncultured bacterium. Its description in RNAcentral is "partial 16S ribosomal RNA". It matches the Rfam family "Bacterial small subunit ribosomal RNA", at positions 524 to 776 of the family's 1533-position model. The record is from RNAcentral.